Molecule: ribosomal RNA, 254 nt
Filed under: uncultured bacterium
Lineage: Bacteria
Description: partial 16S ribosomal RNA
Rfam family: Bacterial small subunit ribosomal RNA
Source: RNAcentral
GACGUAGGGCGCAAGCGUUGUCCGGAAUUAUUGGGCGUAAAGAGCUCGUAGGCGGCUUGUUGCGUCGACUGUGAAAACCCGUGGCUCAACCAUGUGGUCUGCAGUCGAUACGGGCGAGCUAGAGUUCGGCAGGGGAGACUGGAAUUCCUGGUGUAGCGGUGAAAUGCGCAGAUAUCAGGAGGAACACCGGUGGCGAAGGCGGGACUCUGGGCCGAUACUGACGCUGAGGAGCGAAAGCGUGGGGAGCAAACAGG